AGACCCGAAACCCGGUGAUCUAGCCAUGGGCAGGUUGAAGGUUGGGUAACACUAACUGGAGGACCGAACCGACUAAUGUUGAAAAAUUAGCGGAUGACCUGUGGCUGGGGGUGAAAGGCCAAUCAAACCGGGAGAUAGCUGGUUCUCCCCGAAAGCUAUUUAGGUAGCGCCUCGUGAAUUCAUCUCCGGGGGUAGAGCACUGUUUCGGCUAGGGGGCCAUCCCGGCUUACCAACCCGAUGCAAACUGCGAAUACCGGAGAAUGUUAUCACGGGAGACACACGGCGGGUGCUAACGUCCGUCGUGAAGAGGGAAACAACCCAGACCGCCAGCUAAGGUCCCAAAGUCAUGGUUAAGUGGGAAACGAUGUGGGAAGGCCCAGACAGCCAGGAUGUUGGCUUAGAAGCAGCCAUCAUUUAAAGAAAGCGUAAUAGCUCACUGGUCGAGUCGGCCUGCGCGGAAGAUGUAACGGGGCUAAACCAUGCACCGAAGCUGCGGCAGCAAACGUAUCACUUAAAGCGAUUCAGCGGGUUACGAUUGACGGAGCGAAGCGACGUCAAAGCGUAUACAAAGUCGAGUCGGUUUAAGGAUACGUUCGUUGGGUAGGGGAGCGUUCUGUAAGCCUGUGAAGGUGGCCUGUGAGGG
Molecule: ribosomal RNA, 643 nt
Filed under: Salmonella enterica subsp. enterica serovar Typhimurium
Lineage: Bacteria; Pseudomonadati; Pseudomonadota; Gammaproteobacteria; Enterobacterales; Enterobacteriaceae
Description: partial 23S ribosomal RNA
Rfam family: Bacterial large subunit ribosomal RNA
Source: RNAcentral